AAGUCGUAACAAGGUUUCCGUAGGUGAACCUGCGGAAGGAUCAUUAAAGAAUGCCCCGUUUUUUGAAAUGGGUUCUGUUCCCAAACCGUGUAUACAUACUUUUGUUGCCUUGGCAGGCCGCCUUCGGGCGUCGGCUCACGCUGACAGCGCCUGCCAGAGGACCCAAACUCGUUUGUUUAGUGAUGUCUGAGUACUAUAUAAUAGUUAAAACUUUCAACAACGGAUCUCUUGGUUCUGGCAUCGAUGAAGAACGCAGCGAAGUGCGAUAAGUAAUGUGAAUUGCAGAAUUCAGUGAAUCAUCGAAUCUUUGAACGCACAUUGCGCCCGCUGGUAUUCCGGCGGGCAUGCCUGUUCGAGCGUCAUUAUGACCAAUCAAGCUCUGCUUGGCCUUGGGGCCCGCUGCACCGGCGGCCCUUAAAAUUAGUGGCGGUGCCGUCUGGCUUUAAGCGUAGUAAUACUUCUCGCUAUAGGGUCCAGUCGUUUACCCGCCAGAACCCCCAACUUUCUUAGGUUGACCUCGGAUCAGGUAGGGAUACCCGCUGAACUUAA
Molecule: ribosomal RNA, 549 nt
Filed under: uncultured fungus
Lineage: Eukaryota; Fungi
Description: eukaryotic LSU rRNA
Rfam family: 5.8S ribosomal RNA (bases 209-362)
Source: RNAcentral